RNAcentral lists this ribosomal RNA (429 nucleotides) under Gemmatimonadota bacterium. RNAcentral describes it as "Gemmatimonadetes bacterium partial 16S ribosomal RNA". It matches the Rfam family "Bacterial small subunit ribosomal RNA", at positions 355 to 776 of the family's 1533-position model. The record is from RNAcentral. Lineage: Bacteria; Pseudomonadati; Gemmatimonadota.
UAGGGAAUCUUCUGCAAUGGACGAAAGUCUGACCGAGCAACGCCGCGUGAGUGAAGAAGGUUUUCGGAUCGUAAAACUCUGUUGUUAGAGAAGAACAAGGACGUUAGUAACUGAACGUCCCCUGACGGUAUCUAACCAGAAAGCCACGGCUAACUACGUGCCAGCAGCCGCGGUAAUACGUAGGUGGCAAGCGUUGUCCGGAUUUAUUGGGCGUAAAGCGAGCGCAGGCGGUUUCUUAAGUCUGAUGUGAAAACCCCCGGCUCAACCGGGGAGGGUCAUUGGAAACUGGGAGACUUGAGUGCAGAAGAGGAGAGUGGAAUUCAAUGUGUAGCGGUGAAAUGCGUAGAUAUAUGGAGGAACACCAGUGGCGAAGGCGGCUCUCUGGUCUGUAACUGACGCUGAGGCUCGAAAGCGUGGGGAGCAAACAGG